This 468-nucleotide ribosomal RNA is filed under the name uncultured bacterium. RNAcentral's name for it is "partial 16S ribosomal RNA". It matches the Rfam family "Bacterial small subunit ribosomal RNA", at positions 28 to 507 of the family's 1533-position model. The record is from RNAcentral.
GACGAACGCUGGCGGCGUGCUUAACACAUGCAAGUCGAACGGAAAGGCCCUGCUUUUGUGGGGUGCUCGAGUGCCGAACGGGUGAGUAACACGUGAGUAACCUGCCCUUGACUUUGGGAUAACUUCAGGAAACUGGGGCUAAUACCGGAUAGGAGCUCCUGCUGCAUGGUGGGGGUUGGAAGGUUUCGGCGGUUGGGGAUGGACUCGCGGCUUAUCAGCUUGUUGGUGGGGUAGUGGCUUACCAAGGCUUUGACGGGUAGCCGGCCUGAGAGGGUGACCGGCCACAUUGGGACUGAGAUACGGCCCAGACGCCUACGGGAGGCAGCAGUGGGGAAUAUUGCACAAUGGGCGGAAGCCUGAUGCAGCAACGCCGCGUGCGGGAUGACGGCCUUCGGGUUGUAAACCGCUUUCGCCUGUGACGAAGCGUGAGUGACGGUAAUGGGUAAAGAAGCACCGGCUAACUACGUG